This 433-nucleotide ribosomal RNA is filed under the name uncultured bacterium. RNAcentral's name for it is "partial 16S ribosomal RNA". It matches the Rfam family "Bacterial small subunit ribosomal RNA", at positions 29 to 507 of the family's 1533-position model. The record is from RNAcentral.
AACGAACGCUGGCGGCAUGCCUAACACAUGCAAGUCGAACGAGACCUUCGGGUCUAGUGGCGCACGGGUGCGUAACGCGUGGGAACCUGCCCUUAGGUUCGGAAUAACUCCCCGAAAGGGGUGCUAAUACCGGAUAAUGUCUUCGGACCAAAGAUUUAUCGCCUUUGGAUGGGCCCGCGUUGGAUUAGCUAGUUGGUAGGGUAAAAGCCUACCAAGGCGACGAUCCAUAGCUGGUCUGAGAGGAUGAUCAGCCACACUGGGACUGAGACACGGCCCAGACUCCUACGGGAGGCAGCAGUGGGGAAUAUUGGACAAUGGGCGAAAGCCUGAUCCAGCAAUGCCGCGUGAGUGAUGAAGGCCUUAGGGUUGUAAAGCUCUUUUACCCGGGAUGAUAAUGACAGUACCGGGAGAAUAAGCGCCGGCUUACUCCGUG